GAUCUUUUAGGUUCUCCCCCCGAAAAAUAUCUUCCGACUCUUCCGUCAGUUCUGGGAGUUCUUCUGCUUCGAACCCCCAGGCCCCUGUCUCUGCGGACGAACCCGCGUUCGGGGCAGGGCCUCGCCCGAUUUUCGCACCGGGCACCAUUCCAUGUUCGUCGACUCCGGACGAACUCCUUCUGAUAAGGGCUCGGUACGGGGUUCCUUCGGAGUACGACCUGAAGCUUCCUGGCCCCUCUGACCGGGCCAGCGCUCCCCCUCCUGGUCGCUUUUGUUUGUACCAGGAGGCAUUUCGCGCCGGACUCCGGCUUCCGCUUUCAGUCUUUGUUGCCGCCUUCUUUCGCUUCUUAGACAUUUCUCUCGCCUCUGUGGCCC
Molecule: long non-coding RNA, 375 nt
Filed under: Elaeis guineensis (African oil palm)
Lineage: Eukaryota; Viridiplantae; Streptophyta; Magnoliopsida; Arecales; Arecaceae
Description: long non-coding RNA (EGUI_LNC000389)
Source: RNAcentral